RNAcentral lists this ribosomal RNA (394 nucleotides) under uncultured bacterium. RNAcentral's name for it is "bacterial SSU rRNA". It matches the Rfam family "Bacterial small subunit ribosomal RNA", at positions 28 to 419 of the family's 1533-position model. The record is from RNAcentral.
GACGAACGCUGGCGGCGUGCUUAACACAUGCAAGUCGAGCGGUAAGGCCCUUUCGGGGGUACGACGAGCGGCGAACGGGUGAGUAACACGUGGGUGACCUGCCCUCCAGCUCUGGGAUAAGCCCGGGAAACGUGGGUCUAAUACCGGAUAUGACUUCAUGACGCAUGUUGUGGAGUGGAAAGCCUUGUGCGGCUGAGGAUGGGCCCGCGGCCUAUCAGCUUGUUGGUGGGGUGAUGGCCUACCAAGGCGACGACGGGUAGCCGGCCUGAGAGGGCGACCGGCCGACACUGGGACUGAGAUACGGCCCAGACUCCUACGGGAGGCAGCAGUGGGGAAUCUUGCGCAAUGGGCGAAAGCCUGACGCAGCGACGCCGCGUGAGGGAUGACGGCCUGG